UUGCAGCAGAUUAAGCCAACUGUGCUCUUUCCACUGUGGGGGCCCAGUGUGCCGUGGCUGCAAACAGCAGCCUCCUCUGAGGUAUAUACAGCCUGUUGCCGUAAGGGACCUUGGAGACAGCC
Small nucleolar RNA from Bison bison bison, 122 nucleotides. Its record names the gene SNORA70. It matches the Rfam family "Small nucleolar RNA SNORA70". Rfam says of the family: snoRNA U70 seems to be exclusive to mammals and is a member of the H/ACA class of snoRNA which contain H (ANANNA) and ACA box motifs. H/ACA box snoRNAs are involved in the conversion of uridines to pseudouridines (5-ribosyluracil) a constituent of structural RNAs (transfer, ribosomal, small nuclear, and small nucleolar). Lineage: Eukaryota; Metazoa; Chordata; Mammalia; Artiodactyla; Bovidae. The record is from Ensembl.